Molecule: long non-coding RNA, 1206 nt
Organism: Lynx canadensis (Canada lynx)
Lineage: Eukaryota; Metazoa; Chordata; Mammalia; Carnivora; Felidae
Exons: 2
Source: RefSeq, a predicted model, not a curated record
CCCACAAACCAUGAGGUCAUGACCUGAGCCAGAGUCGGAUGCCCAACCGACUGAGACACCCAGGCGCCUCGAGAUUAACUAGUUUUAAAUCUUUGUGGCUGGGGCACGGUGGCCAGAAAAAUUAAACAGUUGAGCAGCGAGUGUCCUGUCCAACAGUUGUUUGUUCAGGAUUUCCUCUGUGUUGGCCUUUUCUCCCAGCCAGCUGCCACCCUCCUGGGAAGAGACCAGGUCUUCUAACUGCAUUCCGACAGGCAAGAUCAUUCACACCUUGCUGAGUGUGCUGGGAGUGUGCCCUGUCCCAGGGCAGGGGCCAUGGGGUUUCCAUAAUAGUGCACGGAGCCUGCUCACCAUUUAGUCAGGCCUGACCGUUCAUGGAGCCUUUCUUGUCUCUGACCUCCUUUGCUCUUCCUAACAUCCCAGUGUGUGCUACAGAAUAAGUAAAAAGAAGGCCUCUCCCAGGUACUCUUACAGCUUAAUAUACAUGUUCUCAUGGCGUUAUCACUGUGAUUCGAUGAGGUGAGCAGAACUGGCUACUUUUACCCACGAGGAAACAGGCCUGGGAGGUGAAAUAACUUGCCCGACGUCCCACAGCUACUCGUAGGCAGUGGGGCCGGAGCUCAGACUGGGGCCCCUUGGCCAGGGCUUUCCCUUGGGGUGCUGCAGCCUCAGGUGCCUGGGUAGGGUCAGGGCCGUGCUACGAUAGCCAUGCCUCUGCAAUCAAAUGUUUUGGAGAAAUCCUCAUGGUCGGUGCCUUCCCGGCUAGGAGUCCCUCGAUGAAGGAGCCACAGUAAAACAGGAAAGGUGAGGAGGCGGGGUGCCAUCUUCACGUGCAAGUCACUUCAGUUCUCUAAGCCCCUCCAGGCCUCUGGGGUUGGGGAGGCAUCGUCUGUACUUCCUUUCAGAUCAGCAGCAGAAGAGCUCGUGGCCUGUGCUCCUGCUGGCUUCCCAGUGCUUGCUUGCGGAGACUGGAGCCGGGUCCUGAAGGAAUUGUCCACCCUAUGAAGCCCAGUAGGCUGUCACACUUGUCCCAGGACACAUUCCCGUAUCCCAGUUCAUUUGCUUCCCACCACGGUUCUCGGCUCAGUGUGGUGCAUGUGUUCUUGUUACCGUGCUGCAAACACGGACACUGAGGUGCAAGAAGGCACUCGCGAGCCCAAGUCAGACAGUCCAGGACUGUCGGAGCUGUUCGGGAGCCCAAGCCACCUG